RNAcentral lists this ribosomal RNA (706 nucleotides) under uncultured Enterobacteriaceae bacterium. RNAcentral describes it as "bacterial SSU rRNA". It matches the Rfam family "Bacterial small subunit ribosomal RNA", at positions 796 to 1502 of the family's 1533-position model. Lineage: Bacteria; Pseudomonadati; Pseudomonadota; Gammaproteobacteria; Enterobacterales; Enterobacteriaceae. The record is from RNAcentral.
CACGCUGUAAACGAUGUCGAUUUGGAGUUUGUUGCCUAGAGUGAUGGGCUCCGAAGCUAACGCGAUAAAUCGACCGCCUGGGGAGUACGGCCGCAAGGUUAAAACUCAAAUGAAUUGACGGGGGCCCGCACAAGCGGUGGAGCAUGUGGUUUAAUUCGAUGCAACGCGAAGAACCUUACCUGGUCUUGACAUCCAUAGAAUUCUGCAGAGAUGUGGGAGCGCCUUCGGGAACUAUGAGACAGGUGCUGCAUGGCUGUCGUCAGCUCGUGUUGUGAAAUGUUGGGUUAAGUCCCGCAACGAGCGCAACCCUUAUUCUUUGUUGCUAGCGAUUUGGUCGGGAACUCAAAGGAGACUGCCGUUGAUAAAGCGGAGGAAGGUGGGGACGACGUCAAGUCAUCAUGGCCCUUACGACCAGGGCUACACACGUGCUACAAUGGCGUAUACAAAGGGAAGCGAAGGUGCGAGCUGGAGCGGAUCUCAUAAAGUACGUCUAAGUUCGGAUUGGAGUCUGCAACUCGACUCCAUGAAGUCGGAAUCGCUAGUAAUCGUAGAUCAGAAUGCUACGGUGAAUACGUUCCCGGGCCUUGUACACACCGCCCGUCACACCAUGGGAGUGGGUUGCACCAGAAGUAGAUAGCUUAACCGCGAGGGGGGCGUUUACCACGGUGUGAUUCAUGACUGGGGUGAAGUCGUAACAAGGUAACCA